Molecule: ribosomal RNA, 254 nt
Filed under: uncultured bacterium
Lineage: Bacteria
Description: partial 16S ribosomal RNA
Rfam family: Bacterial small subunit ribosomal RNA
Source: RNAcentral
UACAGAGGUCUCAAGCGUUGUUCGGAUUCAUUGGGCGUAAAGGGUGCGUAGGCGGCGCGGUAAGUCGGGUGUGAAAACUCCAGGCUCAACCUGGAGACGCCACCCGAGACUGCCAUGGCUAGAGUCCGGUAGGGGACCACGGAAUUCCUGGUGUAGCGGUGAAAUGCGCAGAUAUCAGGAAGAACACCCGUGGCGAAGGCGGCUCUCUGGGACGGUACUGACGCUGAGACGCGAAAGCGUGGGGAGCGAACAGG